GUAGGGGGCGAGCGUUGUUCGGAAUUAUUGGGCGUAAAGGGUACGUAGGCGGCUCGUUAAGUUUGGCGUUAAAUUCCGGGGCUCAACCCCGGCAAGCGUUGAAAACUGGCGAGCUUGAGUAGUAGAGGGGACAGUGGAAUUCCUAGUGUAGCGGUGAAAUGCGUAGAGAUUAGGAAGAAUACCGGUGGCGAAGGCGACUGUCUGGAUACAUACUGACGCUGAGGUACGAAAGCGUGGGGAGCAAACAGGAUUAGAUACCCUGGUAGUCCACGCCCUAAACGAUGAGUGCUAGGUGUCGGGAGUCAAAUCUCGGUGCCGCCGUUAACACAGUAAGCACUCCGCCUGGGGAGU
Molecule: ribosomal RNA, 351 nt
Filed under: uncultured bacterium
Lineage: Bacteria
Description: bacterial SSU rRNA
Rfam family: Bacterial small subunit ribosomal RNA
Source: RNAcentral